This 253-nucleotide ribosomal RNA is filed under the name uncultured bacterium. Its description in RNAcentral is "partial 16S ribosomal RNA". It matches the Rfam family "Bacterial small subunit ribosomal RNA", at positions 524 to 776 of the family's 1533-position model. The record is from RNAcentral.
UACGUAGGGUGCAAGCGUUAUCCGGAAUUAUUGGGCGUAAAGAGCUCGUAGGCGGUUUGUCGCGUCUGCUGUGAAAACCGGAGGCUCAACCUCCGGCCUGCAGUGGGUACGGGCAAACUAGAGUGCGGUAGGGGAGAUUGGAAUUCCUGGUGUAGCGGUGGAAUGCGCAGAUAUCAGGAGGAACACCGAGGGCGAAGGCAGAUCUCUGGGCCGUAACUGACGCUGAGGAGCGAAAGCGUGGGGAGCGAACAGG